This is a long non-coding RNA of Vitis riparia (riverbank grape), 318 nucleotides long. RefSeq lists it as uncharacterized. The transcript has 3 exons. Lineage: Eukaryota; Viridiplantae; Streptophyta; Magnoliopsida; Vitales; Vitaceae. The record is from RefSeq and is a predicted model, not a curated record.
CCCAAUGUGUUAAACAAUUCCCAAAAAUACCUCAUGCAGAUCGGGUAGUAGCAGAUUAUGCUUUGGCUGAAAUGGGUGAUCCUAGUGAGAUUUUGUGCGACAUGUAUGGGAUGUACAUUAGACGGGAGGAACUUUCUUGUCUAAAUGCAGGGCGGUGGGUUAAUUCAAUGAUUGUUGCGAUUGUCUCUCGCAUGAUGAAUGGACAACAAGCACCACCAGCUCGCGCACACUUUUUUGAGCCUUCGUUCUCGGUGAGCCCUCUAAUAUCCUAAAUUCACUUGGUCUGAAACUAGAAGAGUAGAUGUUGAUGUUUGUAUU